UGCCUUUGUGUUGCCCUUUCAGUGUUUCCAUCAUGAAACGGGUGUCAACUAAGGCAUACAGAGACUCUUGUGGGUUUCUUUGGGAGGAGUCACCCCUGAUUCUCCUGACCGGAGUAACUGCAAGAACACAA
Small nucleolar RNA from Etheostoma spectabile (orangethroat darter), 131 nucleotides. RefSeq annotates it as small nucleolar RNA SNORA13. The transcript has a single exon. Lineage: Eukaryota; Metazoa; Chordata; Actinopteri; Perciformes; Percidae. The record is from RefSeq and is a predicted model, not a curated record.